GUGGCCCCAUGGUGAGCAUUCCAAGUGCAGGGCUGUCGGAUGCUCACUGCCCUGAUGUGCUGAUGGUGCAUUUGUUUACCAGAAGGGAUCCAGGUGAGGGGAGGGCCUCAGCCCCUCUCAGCCCGCCUCCUGCCUCCCCGCACCUCCUGGAAAACCUGAACCGCUUGCAUUCAUAGUCAGCAGGUGCUCCCUUUGUCAUGCGACAGGAGAAGGACCUCAGCCUGCACCUUCAGGCCCCUCCAGCCCCUCCACAAGGGAUUUCCACCAGAAAGUUUAAAGCUCACAUAAGGAUCUGAGCCUCUCCCAAGAGAAUGGCGAAAUAAACACAAGCUGUUAUUGGCGUCAUCUCAGUAUUGAUCAGGGCUCAUAACUGCUUAAUUCUUCAUUUUUAUCAAGUCUUCCCAAACUCCCAACCAUCUUCAGUGCUUGGGCAUUUCGGCUUCGUGUUGAAACGAGGUUGGUGCAGCAGCUGUUUCUGCAUCAGGGGCUGCAUCUCCCACCUCCCUUGGUUAUGAGCAGACUCUCAGCCCCUCCUGUGUUCUCUUCUCCAUGGCUAAUCUGCAGCUGAUGGUUUGGUUUCCAGAGAUACAACAGAGCUUUCCUGAGUCCAUUAGAAACCCAUUAUUUAGGGCGGUCACCCCUACUUCCUUCCAGAACCCUCACCCCGCUGACCACAAAGAUCCCUUAUCAGGAAAGUUGGUGUUUGGUUUCCUGAGGGGGAAAAAGCCCAUCUACAUCCAGAAAUGACUCCAUGUGCCACCCUCGGAAGGAAGGCCUUCCUGUUUGGAUGCAGGAGGGCAACGUCACUGCUUGCACAAGGCCCUGUCUCAACUCCAAACUCACCUGUCAGCCAACAGAGCUCUCCAAGUCCUGGCAGGGAAAGCAAGAGGGAAAGAAAACAAUCUCUGAGUCCUUCAAAGACAGAGCUCUCUUUACGACUACGAUUUCCAGCAAUCGAUCACUUAUUUUCAAUAAGCAAGCCUCUUAUUCCACCCUUCUAUGCACGAACCCCCAAAAUAAACUGCGCUAGUCAUUAACGCCCCCUCCCCCGUUCUUGUUCUCAUCUUUUCCAGUGCUGACUUGAGUUUCUUUUUUAACGUGG
This 1102-nucleotide long non-coding RNA is filed under the name Homo sapiens (human). RNAcentral's name for it is "HSALNT0156295". The record is from RNAcentral. Lineage: Eukaryota; Metazoa; Chordata; Mammalia; Primates; Hominidae.